Stegodyphus dumicola is the source of this 2492-nucleotide long non-coding RNA. Lineage: Eukaryota; Metazoa; Arthropoda; Arachnida; Araneae; Eresidae. The record is from RefSeq and is a predicted model, not a curated record.
AUUAAAGUUAAGCACCAAGUAGGAGGAUAAGUAAGAUUUGAUGAAAAUAUAGUUUUAAUGCAAGACUGUUCAUUAAAAGUUUGUUAUUACAGAUAUUUUAGCAGAAAGACCACGUUUAAAAAGGACUGCUGUUCCCAGCUUGUUUUUGCCAUCUGCUUCCAUUGAUGAUGAAGUGAUAACCAGUGAAAAUGAGAAGACGGAGCAAAAUAAAAGAAAGAAAAAUCUUGCAUCUGAAGAGACGGAGAAACCAGAAUUUUGUGAAAGCAAAGUAUUGAAAGAAGAAAGAAAUAUAGUAGCUGAAGCUUUGCUUCAGCUUUCAGAUGUGAAUUCUGAUAGUAACUGUGCGUAAAUAUCCUUAAUUGAGCUUUAUUCAUGUUAGUUGAGAAGAAAACGGUAAAAUCAUUCUAACGAGGUUGAUUUCACUCUUAAAUUGUUGGAUUAGUGUAUAUCAUUGUGCUGAUAAGAUGAAUUUUCAACUAAUCCAAAAACAAUUUUUUUUUUUCAUUGGUGAAGAUACUUCAUAUUACAAACAUGUUAAGGAAUUUUUAUGGAGUACUAUUUUGUAGGCUUAACCACAAAUGAAUGAACAUCUCCUUUGUUACCAUGAAGAAUUCAACUUAUUUUGCUGAUAUAUUUAAAAAAAUAGAUAAUGAUAAGGCUGUAGUCUGCCAGAAAAUUCAAAUGUCUAAACUCAAAAUGAAGUAUUAUUGCCAGUGACUAAAAGAGUGCAUGGAAUUAAAUUUGUACAUCAUCAGGUAACAUAAUUAUGCAUUUGAAGAAAAAAUUACUUUAAACAUCUGACAAGGAAAUGUGUUGAUAAAGGCUGGUUGUGGAAAUAUUAGAAUUAUGCUUAUGCGUUUCAUAAUAUAUUGUUUUUAAGAAAGGACAUUUGUGAUUAACAUGACAUUAAUAUUAUUCUGCUUUUCUCCCCAAAAUUAAAAUAAUUAUAAACUUGGAAAAUAUAUACUAGUGCUGGGUAUUUCGUAAUACAGAAAAUAAAUAUAUUUUGUUUGUUGCAAGUUGGCAAUAUUUCUCAUAUUGUGUGAUUAAUAUAAUACAUGAUUUAAUAAUUGUACCUGUAUUUUUGACAAGAUAGUGAUUAUGUUGUGCCUGGCUAAUUGAUGGCCCAUGCAUGGCCAAGUGGUUUAAGAUGCUGAACAUCAUUAGUUUGAUGAAAGCUCAAAUCCAGCAAUGCAAAGAUGAUACAUUGAUGUUUUUAUAGUUUUUCUCAUGUGUAACAUGCAUAUGGACCAGUUUCCCACAGAAAAUCUUCCUCAAAAGAAACCUUCUGCUUAGGUAAAUAGUUCUCAUGUGCUUUGUUGUAUUUAAGCAGCAUAACCUGACUAAUUGAGUUGUAAUUAAAUUCAGAUUAAAAUUUUGAAGAAAAUAUUUCCCCUCCUCUAUUUUUUUUUUUUUUUUCGUGUGUGUAAAGCAUUGCACACAGCGGUAUUUUCAAAGGGAAUGAUGCCUCAUGGAAGAUUUUUAAAGGAAACUGGCUUAUAUUCACAUUACACAAAGCAUGAAAUGUCCAUGUAUGCAGCCUGUUCGUCAGGAUUCAAAUCCCAAAUAAACUAUCUGUGUUCAGUGACUUGGCUACUGGAGAGCCAAAAUAUAGAUGUUUGUGACUAAAAUAUUGUGAUUAUCACUUUUAACCCUUCAGCUGGAACUGUGAGAAAUAAUUUUUCCAUACUCAAGCAAAAUAGGAAAAUUAUCAGUACUUAUGUAUAUUAUCCUGUCAACCAUGAAAUUCAUGUGGAAUAGUAUGAUUUAGCAUUAUUUAUGGAUAAUCGCAACAUAAAGCACACUCAUAACAUCUGUACUUCUGUUUGAUGGCAAAUUGGCAAUUGUGUUUUUGCCAUUGUCUACAUCUAAAUAUCUUGCUGUUCAUACUGAAUUUUCAGUUGUCAGCAAAGAAAAUACAAAUGCAGUAGUUUCCAAAGGAAAGGAAAGCUUAGCUUAGGAGUUAUUUUUAAAAACUGUUGUAAAGCCAAAAAGAUAGGCAAUUGUAUGAAAUGUUUUACAAUAAUAAUCAGAAUUAUUUGAAAUUACAUAGGAUUUUUAUUGUAUGAUAUUUUUCUGUAUUUUUCAAAUGGGGCCACCAUCACCCUUGCUACUUUUACAAUCAAUGGUAUAAUAUGCAAGUGCUAACAUUUUCCAGAUAACUGUAUCAAUUACUGAGUUAAAAUUCUGUGGUUAUAGGAAUCAACUGCACAAAAUUCAAAACAAAACAAAUUAUGCUUUAAAGCGCAAAAAUUUUUGUUUGCACAUUAAAGCAUAAUUUGUUUAUAAUUAUGAUUUAAUGCAUAAUUAUAAACAACUUUGUCUGUAAUAACUCUGUGUGGCUGUACGACUUUUAAUCUGAUCUUGACAUUUGUUGCCAAUUCGUAUAUACUGUCUUAUUAUUUAAAAUAUUUCUCUUUCAUAUUUUCUUUAUAAUCCAAGUAACAUAUUGAUGAUUACAGGUUAUAAAAAUAAAGUAAAGUUAUUAAUCA